This 232-nucleotide ribosomal RNA is filed under the name uncultured bacterium. RNAcentral's name for it is "partial 16S ribosomal RNA". It matches the Rfam family "Bacterial small subunit ribosomal RNA", at positions 15 to 235 of the family's 1533-position model. The record is from RNAcentral.
GAUCCUGGCUCAGGAUGAACGCUAGCUACAGGCUUAACACGUGCAAGUCGAGGGGCGAGCAUGGUCUUAGCUUGCUAAGGCCGAUGGCGACCGGCGCACGGGUGAGUAACACGUAUCAAACCUGCCGUCUACGUCUUGGACAGCCUUCUGAAAGGAAGAUUAAUACAAGAUGGCAUCGUGAGUCCGCAUGUUCACAUUGAUUAAAGGUAUUCCGGUAGACGAUGGGGAUGCG